RNAcentral lists this ribosomal RNA (279 nucleotides) under Pseudomonas protegens. RNAcentral describes it as "partial 23S ribosomal RNA". It matches the Rfam family "Bacterial large subunit ribosomal RNA", at positions 2669 to 2925 of the family's 2925-position model. Lineage: Bacteria; Pseudomonadati; Pseudomonadota; Gammaproteobacteria; Pseudomonadales; Pseudomonadaceae. The record is from RNAcentral.
GGGCUGCUCCUAGUACGAGAGGACCGGAGUGGACGAACCUCUGGUGUUCCGGUUGUCACGCCAGUGGCAUUGCCGGGUAGCUAUGUUCGGAAAAGAUAACCGCUGAAAGCAUCUAAGCGGGAAACUUGCCUCAAGAUGAGAUCUCACUGGGAUCUUGAAUCCCCUAAAGGGCCGUCGAAGACUACGACGUUGAUAGGUUGGGUGUGUAAGCGCUGUGAGGCGUUGAGCUAACCAAUACUAAUUGCCCGUGAGGCUUGACCAUAUAACACCCAAGCAAUU